GACGAACGCUGGCGGCGUGCCUAAUACAUGCAAGUAGAACGCUGAAGGAGGAGCUUGCUUCUCUGGAUGAGUUGCGAACGGGUGAGUAACGCGUAGGUAACCUGCCUGGUAGCGGGGGAUAACUAUUGGAAACGAUAGCUAAUACCGCAUAAGAGUAGAUGUUGCAUGACAUUUGCUUAAAAGGUGCAAUUGCAUCACUACCAGAUGGACCUGCGUUGUAUUAGCUAGUUGGUGGGGUAACGGCUCACCAAGGCGACGAUACAUAGCCGACCUGAGAGGGUGAUCGGCCACACUGGGACUGAGACACGGCCCAGACUCCUACGGGAGGCAGCAGUAGGGAAUCUUCGGCAAUGGACGGAAGUCUGACCGAGCAACGCCGCGUGAGUGAAGGAGGUUUUCGGAUCGUAAAGCUCUGUUGUAAGAGAAGAACGAGUGUGAGAGUGGAAAGUUCACACUGUGACGGUAUCUUACCAGAAAGGGACGGCUAACUACGUG
RNAcentral lists this ribosomal RNA (495 nucleotides) under uncultured bacterium. RNAcentral's name for it is "partial 16S ribosomal RNA". It matches the Rfam family "Bacterial small subunit ribosomal RNA", at positions 28 to 507 of the family's 1533-position model. The record is from RNAcentral.